Molecule: ribosomal RNA, 115 nt
Filed under: uncultured bacterium
Lineage: Bacteria
Description: partial 16S ribosomal RNA
Source: RNAcentral
CACAUUCGUCCCUGAAAACAGAGUUUUACGAUCCGAAAACCUUCUUCACUCACGCGGCGUUGCUCCGUCAGACUUUCGUCCAUUGCGGAAGAUUCCCCACUGCUGCCUCCCGUAG